CAGUAGCCACGGUAAUACAGAGGGUGCAAGCGUUAAUCGGAAUUACUGGGCGUAAAGCGCGCGUAGGUGGUUUGUUAAGUUGGAUGUGAAAUCCCCGGGCUCAACCUGGGAACUGCAUCCAAAACUGGCAAGCUAGAGUAUGGUAGAGGGUGGUGGAAUUUCCUGUGUAGCGGUGAAAUGCGUAGAUAUAGGAAGGAACACCAGUGGCGAAGGCGACCACCUGGACUGAUACUGACACUGAGGUGCGAAAGCGUGGGGAGCAAACAGGAUUAGAUACCCGCGUAGUCCCUGUCUCUUAUAC
This 301-nucleotide ribosomal RNA is filed under the name uncultured bacterium. RNAcentral describes it as "partial 16S ribosomal RNA". It matches the Rfam family "Bacterial small subunit ribosomal RNA", at positions 509 to 807 of the family's 1533-position model. The record is from RNAcentral.